RNAcentral lists this ribosomal RNA (407 nucleotides) under uncultured bacterium. RNAcentral describes it as "partial 16S ribosomal RNA". It matches the Rfam family "Bacterial small subunit ribosomal RNA", at positions 30 to 526 of the family's 1533-position model. The record is from RNAcentral.
AUUGAACGCUGGCGGCAGGCCUAACACAUGCAAGUCGAGCGGCGCGGCGGACGGGUGAGGAAUGCCUAGGAAUGUGACUGGUAGUGGGGGAUAACGUCAGGAAACGGGCGCUAAUACCGCAUACUAUCGGAUGCGGCUAGGUCGGAUUAGCUAGUGGGUGGGGUAGAGGCAUACCACGGCGACGAUCCGUAACUGGUCUGAGAGGAUGAUCAGCCACACUGGAACUGAGACACGGUCCAGACUCCUACGGGAGGCAGCAGUGGGGAAUAUUGGACAAUGGGCGAAAGCCUGAUCCAGCCAUGCCGCGUGUGUGAAGAAGGUCUUCGGAUUGUAAAGCACUUUAAGUUGGGAGGCGUUACCAACAGAAUAAGCACCGGCUAACUCCGUGCCAGCAGCCGCGGUAAUAC